GUCCCAGUUCGGAUUGCAGCCUGCAACUCGGCUGCAUGAAGCUGGAAUCGCUAGUAAUCGCAGAUCAGAAUGCUGCGGUGAAUACGUUCCCGGGUCUUGUACACACCGCCCGUCACACCAUGGGAGUUGGGAAUGCCCGAAGUCAGUGACCCAACCGCAAGGAGGGAGCUGCCGAAGGCAGGCUUGAUAACUGGGGUGAAGUCGUAACAAGGUACC
Molecule: ribosomal RNA, 216 nt
Filed under: uncultured bacterium
Lineage: Bacteria
Description: partial 16S ribosomal RNA
Rfam family: Bacterial small subunit ribosomal RNA
Source: RNAcentral